AUGCUGGGAAGCUCACCUACAUAGACACAAAAUACGUGGUACAUGUGAAGAGUUAGAGACAGAAGAAGAGCAACAGUAUCUCACCUCAAGCUAUAUUAACAUCUCCACUGAUUCAUUACAAGGUGGCAAGAAGUACUUGGUUUGGGUCCAAGCAGCAAACGCACUAGGCAUGGAAGAGUCAAAACAACUGCAAAUUCACCUGGAUGAUAUAGUUAAAGAAUUUGACACCAAUUUUACAUAUGUGCAACAGUCAGAAUUCUACUUGGAGCCAAACAUUAAGUACGUAUUUCAAGUGAGAUGUCAAGAAACAGGCAAAAGGUACUGGCAGCCUUGGAGUUCACUGUUUUUUCAUAAAACACCUGAAACAGUCCCCAGGUCACAUCAAAAGCAUUCCAACAUGACACAUGGAAUUCUGGGCUAACAGUUGCUUCCAUCUCUACAGGGCACCUUACUUCUGCAACAGAGGAGACAUUGGACUUUUAUUGGGAAUGAUCGUCUUUGCUGUUAUGUUGUCAAUUCUUUCUUUGAUUGGGAUAUUUAACAGAUCAUUCCGAACUGGAUUAAAAGAAGGAUCUUAUUGUUAAUACCAAAGUGGCUUUAUGAAGAUAUUCCUAAUAUGAAAAACAGCAAUGUUGUGAAAAUGCUACAGAAAAUAGUGAACUUAUGAAUAAUAAUUCCAGUGAGCAGGUCCUAUAUGUUGAUCCCAUGAUUACAGAGAUAAAAGAAAUCUUCAUCCCAGAACACAAGC
Molecule: long non-coding RNA, 748 nt
Filed under: Homo sapiens (human)
Lineage: Eukaryota; Metazoa; Chordata; Mammalia; Primates; Hominidae
Description: HSALNT0008431
Source: RNAcentral